Molecule: ribosomal RNA, 381 nt
Filed under: uncultured bacterium
Lineage: Bacteria
Description: bacterial SSU rRNA
Rfam family: Bacterial small subunit ribosomal RNA
Source: RNAcentral
GACGAACGCUGGCGGCGUGCUUAACACAUGCAAGUCGAGCGGUAAGGCCCUUUCGGGGGUACACGAGCGGCGAACGGGUGAGUAACACGUGGGUGACCUGCCCUCAGCUCUGGGAUAAGCCUGGGAAACCGGGUCUAAUACUGGAUAUGACUCCAUGACGCAUGUUGUGGGGUGGAAAGCCUUGUGCGGCUGAGGAUGGGCCCGCGGCCUAUCAGCUUGUUGGUGGGGUGAGGCCUACCAAGGCGACGACGGGUAGCCGGCCUGAGAGGGCGACCGGCCACACUGGGACUGAGACACGGCCCAGACUCCUACGGGAGGCAGCAGUGGGGAAUCUUGCGCAAUGGGCGAAAGCCUGACGCAGCGACGCCGCGUGAGGGAUGA